Molecule: long non-coding RNA, 537 nt
Organism: Macrobrachium nipponense
Lineage: Eukaryota; Metazoa; Arthropoda; Malacostraca; Decapoda; Palaemonidae
Exons: 4
Source: RefSeq, a predicted model, not a curated record
UGGAGCUUCAGAUGGUCAUACAGGACCUCAUUGUCCAACAGUAUUUCCUGCUGAUUGGGCCAGAGAUGAUACUCCUACAAAACAGUGUGAUAUUAAAGGUGCUACAUCAAUUGUCCCGGGUCAUAUCUGAUAAGAUGAGGGAGCCUUUCAAAGAGUUUGUUUGGUGCAACUUCUUCCUUUGUGCUAUCAAGUUUUUGACGCAGCCAUCUUUGCAACUUGAAAAGUUCACCCAGAGUAAGAGAACCAAGAUUUGAGUCGCUAUCGCGAUAUGCGUAGAGAAACGGCUGCUGAAAUCAGAAGUCUUUGGUUUAGUUUAGGUCAACACAAGAUUAGGUUUGUAGCACCAAGUGGCAGUGGACAAUCUAUGGUUGGACCAUUUUUGGAAAUGACAAUGAUAACCAGAAGUUGAGCUAAGAAAGGCAACCAUUCCAAUAUUCUUUGAUAUGAUGCAAUGUGAGUUUUAUUCACUUCGUGAUCAAGGGAAUAAUGUGCCCCCAGAUAUGGCACGCCAAUAAUCAGAAGAACAAGGGGAAAUUC